CCUACGGGAGGCAGCAGUGAGGAAUAUUGGUCAAUGGCCGGAAGGCUGAACCAGCCAUGCCGCGUGAAGGUCAGUGCCCUAUGGGCGUUAAACUUCUUUUGUGCGGGAGCAAUAAUGGUCACGUGUGGCCAGACGAGAGUACCGUACGAAUAAGCAUCGGCUAACUCCGUUCCAGCAGCCGCGGUAAUACGGGGGAUGCAAGCGUUAUCCGGAUUUAUUGGGUUUAAAGGGUGCGUAGGCUGGGAGGUAAGUCAGCGGUGAAAUGCCACGGCUCAACGGGGUGAAGUGACAUUGAUGAUGCCUGGCUGGAAUGCGGAUGCCGUGGGAGGAAUGUGUGGUGUAGCGGUGAAAUGCAUAGAUAUCACACAGAACACCGAUUGCGAAGGCAUCUCACGAAUCCGCGAUUGACGCUGAUGCACGAAAGCGUGGGUAUCAAACAGGAUUAGAUACCCCUGUAGUC
This 460-nucleotide ribosomal RNA is filed under the name uncultured bacterium. RNAcentral's name for it is "partial 16S ribosomal RNA". It matches the Rfam family "Bacterial small subunit ribosomal RNA", at positions 338 to 795 of the family's 1533-position model. The record is from RNAcentral.